This 19-nucleotide unclassified non-coding RNA is filed under the name synthetic construct. The record is from RNAcentral.
AUACAGAUAUGUUCGGUGA